GCCCCCGGCCAUCAGCAGUUCACUUUUUCCGUAAAUUUGCAAUAAUUUCAACCAAAUGAACGCAGAACGAAAGCGGUCGCUUGCAUUGUCUGCAGUUUGAUGCUGAUUAAAAUGUUGUCCAAGAUUAUUAUGGAGAAUCCACCGGCCUGGUGCUGCUGUGGUCCCACGUGUUGCCGGAGCAAUAGUAAGUGGCACCUACUGUACUCUCGCAACAGCGAUGUCAAGACUGUCUGCAAGCCAUGAUCAAAGGUGGUUCAGCCUGAGGAAAUUCUGGGAAGAGCAACUUCUUUUUAAAUGAUUCCACUUCCAUUACCGAAUCGUGGAACGAAAAAACCCGCCCCUGAUUUAAGAAUUGUUGCAACCAAUAAUGAUGUGAUGGUGGCCUAAGAAAAUUGGAAACCUCGGCUACUCCUUCGUUCGGUUGUUGUUCAGCUCAGACAGUCCCAUAGAGAUGAGAAGUUACUCCUUGUGGACCCAGUAGCGGAUUGAGGUCAGGGCGAUUGCUUUUUAAGAUAAGAAAUAGCAUGCGGCCUUCAUCUACAGGAAUCAAAAUUACUAUUUUGAAUGAAUGAAUGGCUUUAUUUUGGGAAGAUUCUGGAGGAAACCAAUUUAAUUUGAGUUUGAACCAUUGAUGCAUGGAUUGUGGCAUGGCCCUCUUGUGAGCUAAUGCCAGUGGCAGAAUUCUGGAGAACAUCGACUGACUAAAAACUACCACAAUUAUUCCGUGAAUGUUAUUCCUAAUUGAUGAAUAAAAACAAAAGUUUUACUUGUAAUAUAA
Molecule: long non-coding RNA, 778 nt
Organism: Drosophila persimilis
Lineage: Eukaryota; Metazoa; Arthropoda; Insecta; Diptera; Drosophilidae
Exons: 12
Source: RefSeq, a predicted model, not a curated record